This 484-nucleotide long non-coding RNA is filed under the name Pongo abelii (Sumatran orangutan). RNAcentral's name for it is "lincRNA". Lineage: Eukaryota; Metazoa; Chordata; Mammalia; Primates; Hominidae. The record is from RNAcentral.
CUCAUUCAUUCCUUUUCCAAAGACUUGCUGAGCACCUUCUAGGUGCCAGAUGUGGUGCUGGCUCCUGGGGACAUGGGAAUGAACAGGCCAGGUGUGGCCCUGAACCAUCAAAUAGACAACCACAGAAAUAACAAAAACAAAGACAAAACUGGGCCCUUCUACACAGUAGCUGGAACACAAAGGAAGAUCAGCCAAGCCUCAACAUAAUCUCAUAAAAAUUCUUCAAAUAUCCCAUUGUUAUGGAUUCAUACAUCAGGAAAGCAGAUGCCAAGAACCUGAAUACCUUCUACUGGUAACAUAUAUUUUGGCGAGCCAGCCCGGAGACAAGACCACUAUGGGCAACUUCCCAUCUAUUCUAUCUGGUGUCACUGUGGACAACUUCCUAUCUAUUCCACCCGAUUCACCGCUUGGCUACAUCCUCCACCAUUGGGAUGAAUUUGACCCUGACAACCUAAAGAAAACGUGUAUGAUUUUUUUACUGCAA